UGGACAAUGGGGGCAACCCUGAUCCAGCCAUGCCGCGUGAGUGAUGAAGGCCUUAGGGUUGUAAAGCUCUUUCGUCAGGGAAGAUAAUGACGGUACCUGAAGAAGAAGCCCCGGCUAACUUCGUGCCAGCAGCCGCGGUAAUACGAAGGGGGCUAGCGUUGUUCGGAAUUACUGGGCGUAAAGCGCACGUAGGCGGACAUUUAAGUCAGGGGUGAAAUCCCAGGGCUCAACCCUGGAACUGCCUUUGAUACUGGGUGUCUUGAGUACGAGAGAGGUGAGGGGAAUUCCCAGUGUAGAGGUGAAAUUCGUAGAUAUUCGGAAGAACACCCGUGACGAAGGCGUCUCACUGGCUCGUAACUGACGCUGAGGUGCGAAAGCGUGGGGAGCAAACA
Molecule: ribosomal RNA, 392 nt
Filed under: uncultured bacterium
Lineage: Bacteria
Description: bacterial SSU rRNA
Rfam family: Bacterial small subunit ribosomal RNA
Source: RNAcentral